Molecule: ribosomal RNA, 414 nt
Filed under: uncultured microorganism
Description: bacterial SSU rRNA
Rfam family: Archaeal small subunit ribosomal RNA
Source: RNAcentral
CAGCCGCCGCGGUAAUUCCGGCGGCCCGAGUGGCGGUCACUAUUAUUGGGCUUAAAGCGUCCGUAGCCGGGUUGGGAAGUCCUCCGGGAAAUCUGGCCGCUUAACGGUCAGAAUGCCGGAGGAUACUCCCAGCCUAGGGAGCGGGAGAGGCCGAGGGUAUUCCCGGAGUAGGGGGGAAAUCCUAUAAUCCCGGGAGGACCACCUGUGGCGAAGGCGCUCGGCUGGAACGCGUCCGACGGUGAGGGACGAAGGCCAGGGGAGCAAACCGGAUUAGAUACCCGGGUAGUCCUGGCGGUAAACGAUGCGGACUUUGUGUCGGACAAGCUAUGAGCUUGUCCGGUGCCGGAGGGAAACCGUUAAGUCCGCCGCCUGGGGAGUACGGCCGCAAGGCUGAAACUUAAAGGAAUUGGCGGG